This is a small nuclear RNA of Myiozetetes cayanensis, 115 nucleotides long. RefSeq annotates it as U5 spliceosomal RNA. Lineage: Eukaryota; Metazoa; Chordata; Aves; Passeriformes; Tyrannidae. The transcript has a single exon. The record is from RefSeq and is a predicted model, not a curated record.
AUACUCUUGUUUCUCUUCAAUUCGUAUAAAUCUUUCGCCUUUUACUAAAGAUUUCCGUGGAGAGGAACAAAUAAGAGUGCGAAGUAAUUUUUUUAAGCUUCACUGAGGUGGAGCA